Long non-coding RNA from Armigeres subalbatus, 864 nucleotides. RefSeq lists it as uncharacterized. Lineage: Eukaryota; Metazoa; Arthropoda; Insecta; Diptera; Culicidae. The record is from RefSeq and is a predicted model, not a curated record. The transcript has 3 exons.
UUUCAUAAGCACCAAGCGGCAUUAUCCUCGAUUUUCAUCCUGGUAUUAACUUUAAUACGCCGAUUUUGGCGUAUUAAGAUAAUCCGAGAUUUUUUAAAUGUACGCAGCCAAAACCAUACUUGCUCUCACGCACACCUGCAAAGGUAAAUAACGACAGCUGCAUGUUUACUUUUUGCGCUCUGCUUCGAAUCCAAGUUUUUCGUUCUGAUGCAAAAGUCUUAAAAUAAAAAGUAUUUUGUCGAUCCUUAAAAUAACGCUUUGUUUUGCAACGACGCUCCGAUGGAACAACUGAAGAUGUUGGAAGCAGGUUGGAAGUAGUGCUGUUGCCAACGAUCACGUUAGUUUUUGAUUCGCUAUUCGUCGGAUCGCUAAACCAUUUUAUUAAAACUUUGUGGUCUCUAGAACCGAUAUUGAUCGACCUGGCGCACCGGCGCUAAGUGCUCGAAAUCAGGCGAAAAAAUUGGUUCCGGAUAAAAAGAUACCAUCGUUAUCAAUCAUAUCCUUUAUCGAUAAAAUCGGAUGGGAAAGGUGUGUCUAAUUAUGCAUCUAUUUCAAUCAAAAUUCAGGUGGCAUUAGUGGCUGCCCGGAUAAAAAAUAUGAUUAGAAUAUUAUAAAUUUUACUGUUACAUCACCAUGUAAAACAUAGAAAUUACCAUUGAAUGUAAUGGAAUUUUAACAACUAAAUCACAUCAGAGACAAUUGUUUUCCACGAUUAAAUGAAUGGUAAAUGGGACUUUUACAAUAAAAAAUGGGGGUUGUUAUGUAUCUUUACAAUAAAAAAAUCGAAAAAUUUUCAUACAAAAUUCAGAGCAAAACAAUUGAUUUAACGGUUCUUCAAUGGGAUGAUUUCGAAGGCCAAAACAA